Molecule: transfer RNA, 73 nt
Filed under: archaeon
Lineage: Archaea
Description: tRNA-Asn
Rfam family: tRNA
About the family: Transfer RNA (tRNA) molecules are approximately 80 nucleotides in length. Their secondary structure includes four short double-helical elements and three loops (D, anti-codon, and T loops). Further hydrogen bonds mediate the characteristic L-shaped molecular structure. tRNAs have two regions of fundamental functional importance: the anti-codon, which is responsible for specific mRNA codon recognition, and the 3' end, to which the tRNAs corresponding amino acid is attached (by aminoacyl-tRNA synthetases). tRNAs cope with the degeneracy of the genetic code in two manners: having more than one tRNA (with a specific anti-codon) for a particular amino acid; and 'wobble' base-pairing, i.e. permitting non-standard base-pairing at the 3rd anti-codon position.
Source: RNAcentral
GUCCCUGUAGCUCAGUUGGUGGAGCAUUCGGCUGUUAACCGAAAGGUCGCAAGUUCGAGUCUUGCCGGGGACG